CGAAAGCUGUGAAUCAGUGAAGAUGUUGGAAAGCAGAGACGGUAUCCAAAUUUCUAUAAUGUAAUUUUUAUACUUACAAAUAUUAGCUACUUUUUAGUUUUAAAAUAAUCAAACCAAAAUACAAAAAACUUAGAAUUACUAAAAUAGUUUUUUUUUUCUUGACAGCAAGAAAUUUACAGACUCAUGUUGACUCUGUAAACCAUAUUGGUAACUCCGCAUCCAUGUGAACGACAAAGGACAGUUGCUUGCGUGCACUACGUGCUAAGCUAUCCGCCCGAAGGUUCGCCGUCCGAGGUACAUGGACGAUGUCUGAGUUGAGGAAGCUUCCUUUGAGGAAUUUGAUAUCUUCCAAAUAGCUUUCAAAUGCUGGCCAUUCUUCUGGUUCCGAAACCAUCUUCACCAAUUGAGAACAAUCCGUUGCAAACGUAACCUAGACCUGUCUUAAAUUCCUCAUACAUUCCAUUGCCCAAAUCAAAGCCUCUAUCUCCGAAUGCAGGGGAGAGAGGCAUGCCCUUACAUUCCUUGCCCCCAGUAGACCCUCAAACCCCGGUAAAGUACUAUACCAGCCUUGCCCUGACAUUAAUUCUUUAUCCUUCCAUGAUCCAUCAAUAAAACAUCAUCGACCUGAUGUCUCUAAAGGAGGAAUGGUUUAUAUCUAAAAUAAUUGAGCUAUUGUUAACCCACAUCAUAUUUAUCACUAAAUAUAUGUCAGGGUGAUUAUGUAGAUAUCCGGUUUAACAUUUAUUGUGCAUAUUUCAUAUCUGAAACCCAAAUUCGUCAGAAAUUUCCAUGAAUUUCUGACAAAAACAUAAACUCUAAACCUAUCCCCCAAAUCGUUUAACACUGCUCGGGAAUUGUUGUUAUUUAUUAUUUCGAACAAAAAAAAAUUGUUGAAAAUUCUUUGGAUAUUUUUGACGAAAUACUGACGAAUGGUAAAAUUUCAUAUUCGUCAAAAUUUUCUCAGUAAUUUCUGACAAAUAUAUUUCCGUCAGAAAUUCCAUCAUAAAUUCCGUCGAAAAUUAACAUGUUUUCUUGUAGUGGUAUCCUAUGCUUUUUACAAGCCACAUGGUUUUCUUUUUCUGGCAAGAUUAACCGGAGAAGUAAAAUUGUUAGUUUAAAAAUCUAUGGCUUAAAACCACUGUGGCCAGGUUGUAUGAGGCGGUCCAAACCCCUCGUCAAAUCUAUGGCUGAAAAUGUAGAAUUGGUUGCAACCAACAACGAUCAAUGGAGGAACACUAAGAGAUCAGGACUUAAAACCUUCAUGGUUGGGUAAUUGGCCAGAGAUGGAGAAUGUUUGCUCGAUAGAAGAAUGUCAAUUUUGGUUUUCACUCAGUGUCAGUUGCAUGGUGGAGAAGACAUUGGAAUCUUUUCUCUUCUACUGGAAAUCAACUAGAUGGGAUUUGAGAUCAAAGAUAGUGGAAGAUAAUAAAAAUGAAGUAUAUCAGUGUAGUAUAGACGAUGAUUAUCAAUAUAUGUUCUUAGAGCACCCACAAUGGAGGAUGAAGAAGAAUCCUUAGCUCUUAAUCCUAAGUUAUUAGCAAUAUAAUAAUAAUAUAAACACUUAGUUAACUAAGGAUUGAUCCCUAAAUAAGGAUUUUAAGGACCAAAUCCUUAUAGACGUGGCGGCUUGGCAUUGGGUGGCCAUUGUGCUUUUGUUGAUUUCUCUUUUGCCUCGUGUUUCUUCUGAUCUCGUGCGGAUCUGUCAAAGCAUGGAAACGACGGAUCGAGAUCAGCGACGAUCUAGACGACAUGGAAGACAAUGAAGAAGACGAAUCAUGGAAAUCAUCAUCGAGAUCGACUCAAGCGUUCACAGUGAUCAUCCUUCUGCUCGUGGUGAUUAUGAUUCUUCUCGGUCUCGGGAUCUUGUCACUUCCCAAUGCAAACAGAAAAUCUUCCAAGCCCAACGACUUGACCAACAUUGUACGCAAGAGCCAGGAGCAGAGGAGUGGUGGAGAUGAGGAAGGGAACGGGGAGCGUUGGGUUGAAGUGAUUUCGUGGGAGCCUAGAGCUGUUGUUUACCACAACUUCUUGAAUCUUUUUGACUUUGUGAUCCCAUAGAGUUUAGAUCUACUUGAAUCUUUUAUUUUUGAAAUGUGUUGAAAAUGGAGGAAACACAUUUUUGUCAGUUAGAAAUUGGAGUUUUUCAUUUUCAAUGAAAAUGACUCAGAGAGAGGGAGGGAACACACAUGUGGCUUGUGUCUGAAAUGAGUUACUAAAUUGGAAUGUCCGAGAUGUGAUCUUGUGUUUCUUUCA
Molecule: RNA transcript, 2253 nt
Organism: Brassica rapa (field mustard)
Lineage: Eukaryota; Viridiplantae; Streptophyta; Magnoliopsida; Brassicales; Brassicaceae
Gene name: prolyl 4-hydroxylase 5
Source: RefSeq, a predicted model, not a curated record